Molecule: ribosomal RNA, 445 nt
Filed under: uncultured bacterium
Lineage: Bacteria
Description: partial 16S ribosomal RNA
Rfam family: Bacterial small subunit ribosomal RNA
Source: RNAcentral
GUAGGGAAUAUUGGUCAAUGGACGAAAGUCUGAACCAGCCAUUCCGCGUGCAGGAAGAAGAUUCUAUGGAUUGUAAACUGCUUUUAGCAGAGAAGAAACGCCUUCAUUGAUGAGGGUUUGACGGUAUCUGCGGAAUAAGCACCGGCUAACUCCGUGCCAGCAGCCGCGGUAAUACGGGGGGUGCAAGCAUUAUCCGGAUUCACUGGGUUUAAAGGGUGCGUAGGCGGGAAAUUAAGUCAGUGGUGAAAGUCUGUUGCUUAACGAUAGAAUUGCCGUUGAUACUGAUUUUCUUGAAUUGGGUUGAGGUUAGCGGAAUGUGACAUGUAGCGGUGAAAUGCAUAGAUAUGUCAUGGAACACCAAUUGCGAAGGCAGCUAGCUGGGCCUUGAUUGACGCUGAGGCACGAAAGCGUGGGUAGCGAACAGGAUUAGAAACCCCAGUAGUCC